Molecule: non-coding RNA, 30 nt
Filed under: Rattus norvegicus (Norway rat)
Lineage: Eukaryota; Metazoa; Chordata; Mammalia; Rodentia; Muridae
Source: RNAcentral
UUCUAAAGGUCCUGAGUUCUAUUUCUGAAA